Molecule: long non-coding RNA, 277 nt
Organism: Pseudophryne corroboree (corroboree frog)
Lineage: Eukaryota; Metazoa; Chordata; Amphibia; Anura; Myobatrachidae
Exons: 2
Source: RefSeq, a predicted model, not a curated record
GCACAAAGCGGUACCCGGAAGUGCCGGGAUCGUGCUGACAUGCCGGCGGCCGUGGGAAGGGGGGUAAGAUGCGGGCACCAACACAUGAAAAAUAACAAGCUGCCAACAGGAAGAAAGAAACCAAUGAAAAGAAACAUUUCUCCUCCAGUUUAAAAGUUCUCCUAUCUGGGAAAGACAGAAGCCUGGAAAGCUUUGUGAUCCUGGCACGGCAGACUUCAUGGAGCAGGCACGGCCAAGUUACAGACAUUUAAAGGCAUUUUAAAUGGAAAAAAGAUAA